RNAcentral lists this ribosomal RNA (1157 nucleotides) under Capsicum annuum. Its description in RNAcentral is "SSU rRNA". The stretch from base 468 to 1157 matches the Rfam family "Eukaryotic small subunit ribosomal RNA", at positions 1117 to 1823 of the family's 1831-position model. Lineage: Eukaryota; Viridiplantae; Streptophyta; Magnoliopsida; Solanales; Solanaceae. The record is from RNAcentral.
UCGAAACCUGCACAGCAAAACGAGCCACGAACAUUUAUAAGAAAUGGGGAGUCCACGCGGGUGGGGUACUACAUCACUUCGCAUGAGCACCUCCCCCUCAUCCCUGAUGCAAAAAGCACCAAGGAAUACUUAAAUCAACAGUCUACCCCUCGCGCCCUAUCUAUGAUGUCUCGACUUUCGAAUCGAUGAAGAUCGCGUCGCCCCCUUGAAUCGGGCAUUAAUCAUAGGGCACGCUAUUGUCGUGGGGAGGAUACUGGCCUUCCAUGAACCUCGAGCUUGUGGCUGGCCUAAAUGCGAGUCGACGUUGAUGGAUGUCACGGCAAGUGGUGGUUGUGUCUCAACUCUCUUUGUUGUCGCGGCUAAAUCUCGUCGCGCGUUUGGACUCCAGGACCUUUUUGCACUUAGGAACUCCGACCGUGACCCCAGGUCANGAACCCUGAACCCUGAACCCUGAACCCUGGGUUUCGGGGGGAGUAUAGUCGCAAGGCUGAAACUUAAAGGAAUUAACGGAAGGGCACCACCAGGAGUGGAGCCUGCGGCUUAAUUGGACUCAACACGAGGAAACUUACUAGGUCCAGACAUAGUAAAGAUUGACAGACUGAGAACUCUUUCUAGAUUCUAUGGGUGGUGGUGCAUGGCCGUUCUUAGUGUGUGGAGCGAUUUGUCUGGUUAAUUCCGUUAACCAAUGAGACCUCAACCUGUUAACUUGCUAUACGGAGGUAUCCCUUCGCGGCCAGCUUCAUAGUGGGACUAUAGCCUUUUAGGCCGCGGAAGUUUGAGGCAAUAACAGGUCUGUGAUGCCCUUAGAUGUUUUGGGCCGAACGCGCGCUACACUAAUGUAUUCAUUGAGUUUAUAGCCUUGGCCGACAUGCCUGGGUAAUCUUUGAAAUUUUGUCAUGAUGGGGAUAGAUCAUUUCCAUUGUUGGUCUUCAAAGAGGAAUUCUUAGUAAGCGCGAGUCAUCAUCUCGCGUUGACUACAUCUCUACCCUUUGUACACACCUCCCGUCGCUCCUACCAAUUGAAUGAUCCAGUGAAAUGUUUGGAUCACAGCGACGUAGGCGGUUCGUUGCCUGCAAUGUCAAGAGAAGUCCAUUGAACCUUAUCAUUUAGAGGAAGGAGAAUUCAUAACAAGGUUUCCAUAGGUGAACCUACAGAAG